AACGCACCUUGCGCCCCUUGGUAUUCCGAGGGGCACACCCGUUUGAGUGUCGUGAAUUCUCAACCUCCUUGGUUUCUUCUGGAGAUCAAAGGAGGCUUGGACUUUGGAGGCCUUUGCUGGCAUCUGAAAAGGUGGCCAGCUCCUCUUGAAUGAAUUAGCGGGGUCCUCUUUGCCGAUCCUUGACAUGUGAUAAGAUGUUUCCGUGUCUCGGCUUCUGGCUCUGUUACUUUUGGGACCUGCUUCCAACCGUCUCGACGUCGAGACAAUGUUCGAGCCUGUUGCCCUUCUCGGGAAACGCUCUCGACCCCACGAACCCUUGACCUCAAAUCGGGUGAGACUACCCGCUGAACUUAA
This 354-nucleotide ribosomal RNA is filed under the name uncultured Lactarius. Its description in RNAcentral is "eukaryotic LSU rRNA". Lineage: Eukaryota; Fungi; Basidiomycota; Agaricomycetes; Russulales; Russulaceae. The record is from RNAcentral.